UGAAAAUUGAAAACGUUUGCUUUUGGGCUCCUUGGUUUUCCAGCUCAGUAAUACCUCAAAUGUAAAUUGUCUGCAUUUUUACAUUUUUAGUCAUUUAGCAGACGCUCUUAGCCAGAGCGACUUACAUUUUUUCUCCGUACUGGUCCCCCGUGGGAAUCGAAACCACAACCCUGGCGUUGCAAACACCAUGCUCUACCAACUGAGCCACACGGGACCAACAACAGUGAAAUUGCCUACUUCUAUGUGAAUUAAUGAGGUGGAACACACCUCAAUUCAAACUGUUGUUAGAAAAUAAAACCUGUUGGAAAAUUAUUUGAAAUUGAAGUUGAAACAUAGCCCAUAGAUAAUUAGCAGGCAGUGUGCCUUGGUUUGAGGACAGCGUGGGUUAACUGUCCUGUUGCGUAACAAUCACAUUUUGGAACAGUAAAUGCAUUCUGACAUCACUCAAACUCAGCUGGGGCGACAUAAGAGAAAUUUGGAACUCACACGUGAAAAGGGUUCAAUUUGGAAUGCCUGUUAUUGGUUAAGUGCACAGCCAACACUUCCUAUUCUUUCAAAAUGUAUUACAUGGUCUGUCACGCGGCCUUAUGGACUCUGCUGGUACUGCUCUUGGCCAUCUCGGGGUGCACCUUGGCAAGUGCCUAAAAGAGUGUGUGUGAACAAAUCUCACUCAUUGUUACCUGCAUCAACAAAAACCUGACAGAGGUUCCUCUCACAAUGAGAUCACAGUGAAGCUGGAUCUGAGAGGCAACAACAUCCAGGAGCUGCCAUCAGGUGCGUUCAAACGCAUGCCAUACCUGAUGCACCUGUCCAUGCAGCGCAGCAACAUCCACACCAUAAAGGAGGGGGCGUUCCCUGCUCUGGGCCGCCUCGUCUUCCUCAACCUGGCCAACAACAACAUCGAGAUCCACUAUCAGGUGAGAUAGAUUGAGACAGUGUGAUAUGUGACUGUUUCUUUGCUGUGGUUUGACUAUGUUACUGAGAAAAGUUGGUGUUGCAAAUUAAGAUGCACACUCUUCCUUCAUCUUGUUUUCCCUGUUUCUCUCACUCCCUUUGUCUUCUCACUCCCAGGCUGCCAUUCUCUCCCAUCCCUCUGACUGUUUCUUUGCUGAGUUUUGACUAUGUUGCUGGGAGAAUUUGGUAUUGCAAAUUAAAAGCUCCACACUCUUCCUCCAUCUCCCCCCACUACGUCUGCAGGAGGCGUUCGACGGUCUCUCCUCGCUGAAGCAGCUAAUGAUUGACCACAACCCGGUGGAGGAGAUCCAGCCAGAGAUCUUCUCUCAGCUGGGCUUCCUCAACUUGCUUUCCCUUGCCCACAACCAGCUCACCAACAACCCCAACAUGGCUGAUGGGGAUCUGCGGGGGACCGACUCACUUCUCUGGGGAGAACCUGGAGGCCAUCCACUUCCUGGACCUGCGCUGCCAGAGCCAGGAGGCCAUGCUAAAGGCUGAGUUUGAGGAGCAGACAAGGGGGAUUCCAACCCCCACCCCCCGAGCCCACCGACAAUGUCAAGUGUCCCGCCAACUGUGCCUGCAAGGUUGAGACACACCACUCCUCUGAGAACUGCGGCCACACCAAAGUCCCCCACGGCUUCUCCCCCAACACACGCCUCCUCAACCUGCGAGGCCUCCGGUUCAAGCUGCUACAUGGCCUGCUCGCCCUUCACAUGGAGAACAAUUCCAUCGCCAAGCUGUAGCCAGGGAUUCUGACUGGGGAUGAGAAGUUGAGCGGGCUCUAUCUGAGGUGGUGCCCAGUGAUGCGUUAGCAAAGACGGGCAACCUGGGAGCAUUACAGCCGUCGGGGAAUCCCAUUUGCUGGAGUGGGCCGCAUGUUUUCCAGCUAUUGGCUAGGGCACUGAAGGAUCUGUAUCUGGAUGGCAUGGGAUUGGAGAAGAUGUCUAAGGACUCUGGCAGGACUGAGUGCUGGUCUUAGGAGUCUCUACCUGGAGAGGAUCCAGCUGGAGGAGGUGCCCGACUUCAACCCUCUGAUCGGCCUGGAUGUCAUCAACCUGGCAGAGAACCCUCUUCUGCCCCUUGCUGCCGCUACGCAUGUACGACUUACACACGUUAUGCUCGCUCUUUCAUACACUCACUCUGACACAUGCUUGAAAACUCCCCCUCUCUCAUGUAUACACUCAGAUACAUGCUCUAACCCACUCAUGUUCACUCUUUCAUACAAACAUGUAUUAAUUGCCUACAGUACCAGUCAAAGGUUUGGACACACCUACUCAUUCCAGUCUAUUUUUUCCCCUUAUUUUUUAGACAUUGUAGAAUAGUGAAGGCUAUGAAAAAAAAAAGUUGAAAUAACACAUAUGUUAUCAUGUAGUAACCAAAAAAGUGUCAAACAAAUCAAAAUAUAUUUUAGAUUCUUUAAAGUAGCCACCCUUUGCCAUGAUGACAUCUUUG
This 2406-nucleotide long non-coding RNA is filed under the name Salmo salar (Atlantic salmon). Its description in RNAcentral is "lncRNA (ENSSSAG00000083009.1)". Lineage: Eukaryota; Metazoa; Chordata; Actinopteri; Salmoniformes; Salmonidae. The record is from RNAcentral.